AGAGGUUUGAUCAUGGCUCAGGAUGAACGCUGGCGGCGUGCCUAAUGCAUGCAAGUCGAGCGACGCAUGCCGGAGGGGUAACCCACUGGUAUGACGGAGCGGCGAACGGGUGAGUAACACGUGAGCAACCUGCCCCACAGACCGGGAUAGCCCAGGGCAAACCUGGAUUAAUACCGGAUACCCUCGGAGGACGGCAUGGUCCAUCGAGGAAAUGCCUUUGUGCUGUGGGAUGGGCUCGCGGCUUAUCAGCUAGUUGGUGGGGUAACGGCCCACCAAGGCAUUGACGAGUAGCUGGUCUGAGAGGACGAUCAGCCACACUGGGACUGAGACACGGCCCAGACUCCUACGGGAGGCAGCAGCAGGGAAUCUUGCGCAAUGGGCGAAAGCCUGACGCAUCAACGCCGCGUGGGGAAUGAA
RNAcentral lists this ribosomal RNA (417 nucleotides) under uncultured Actinomycetes bacterium. RNAcentral describes it as "bacterial SSU rRNA". It matches the Rfam family "Bacterial small subunit ribosomal RNA", at positions 1 to 412 of the family's 1533-position model. The record is from RNAcentral. Lineage: Bacteria; Bacillati; Actinomycetota; Actinomycetes.